Escherichia coli str. K-12 substr. MG1655 is the source of this 71-nucleotide non-coding RNA. Lineage: Bacteria; Pseudomonadati; Pseudomonadota; Gammaproteobacteria; Enterobacterales; Enterobacteriaceae. The record is from Rfam.
GGCCGGAUAAGGCGCUCGCGCCGCAUCCGGCAAUCAAUGCCUGAUGCGACGCUGUCGCGUCUUAUCAGGCC